GACGAACGCUGGCGGCGUGCUUAACACAUGCAAGUCGAACGGUGAAGCGCCUUCCUUUUUGGUGGGUGUGGAUGAGUGGCGAACGGGUGAGUAACACGUGAGUAACCUGCCCCCUUCUUCUGGAUAACCGCAUGAAAGUGUGACUAAUACGGGAUAUUCUGGGUCUGUCGCAUGAUGGGUCUGGGAAAGAUAUUGUUUCGGUGGGGGAUGGGCUCGCGGCCUAUCAGCUUGUUGGUGGGGUGAUGGCCUACCAAGGCGGUGACGGGUAGCCGGCCUGAGAGGGUGGACGGUCACACUGGGACUGAGACACGGCCCAGACUCCUACGGGAGGCAGCAGGGGGGAAUAUUGCACAAUGGGCGCAAGCCUGAUGCAGCGACGCCGCGUGAGGGAUGGAGGCCUUCGGGUUGUGAACCUCUUUCGCCAGUGAAGCAGGCCUGCCUCGUUUGUGGGUGGGUUGACGGUAGCUGGAUAAGAAGCGCCGGCUAACUACGUG
Molecule: ribosomal RNA, 494 nt
Filed under: uncultured bacterium
Lineage: Bacteria
Description: partial 16S ribosomal RNA
Rfam family: Bacterial small subunit ribosomal RNA
Source: RNAcentral